Molecule: long non-coding RNA, 2635 nt
Organism: Phocoena sinus (vaquita)
Lineage: Eukaryota; Metazoa; Chordata; Mammalia; Artiodactyla; Phocoenidae
Source: Ensembl
GCGUGUGCAGGCCCAGCUGUGCGUUCCUGUUUCCGCACUUUCGUCCCUGGUUGAUAGUUGGUGCUGGGUCCUUGAUUGUCCUCCUGUAGAGUGGAUUUGGGGGGAUGGAGACUCCGCGCCUCACGGGAACUUCUGGAUCGUUUGUCUGGCCCCACCUGCAGCCGGACCGGAGGAAAGCCCCCGCGGCGGCCGUGGUAGGGAGCGUGGUGCUUGUUUGUUCAUAAUGCGGAUGGUGAGCGUGCCAGAAAGCGCAGGCGGUGGGUCUGUGGUGGAGCCCGAGCUCUGGAGCCAGAAAGACCCAGGCAUGAAUGUCAUUCAAGGACGUGACUGUGGAUUUAACCCAGGAGUGGAAACACCUGGGCCCUGCUCAGAGUAUCCUGUACAGAGAUGUGAUACUGGAGAACUACAGCCACCUCCUCUCAGUGGAGUAUUGCUUUGGAAAACCAGAUGUGACCUUCAAUUUGGAAGAAGGAGAAGAUCCAUGGUUAUUAGAGGAAGAAUGUCUAAAUAGGAGCUACUCAGGUGAGUUACUGAGUACUAGAAGAAGGUAUCCAGGGAAAAGUAAAUCCAAAGUGAUCAGUAAUAGGUAGGAAUUUUAAUUUUAAUUUUAUUUAUUUAUUGGCCAUGCCGCAUGGCUUGUGAGAUCUUAGUUCCCCAACCAGGGAUCAAACCUGCACCCUUGGCAGUGAAAGCAUGGAGUCCUAACCCUGGACCACCAGGGAAUUCCCUAGGUGGGAAGUUUUAGAGGCCUGUGUCUUUGGUAGUUUACAAAGAAUAGAUCCAGUACAAUGUGGAAAAUGAAGGUAUAACAUAACGAAUGCAGUACUAGCAUACUGAUUUUCUGAUCUUUAAAGGCUGGGAGUCUAAGUGUAUCAUUUACAACUGACAAACCAAGUUAUAGGAUUUUUAUUUAAUUGUAAAAUGAUAAACACUAAGAAAUAAUAGAAAAGGCACUAAAAUUGGGCAUUAAAUGAUGGUUAAGGAGAGAGAAGAAACACUGAUUUCAUCAUUGGUUCUAUAAUAUGGAAUUACUAGUUACUGUCUAAGUAAGUAGAAGAUUAAAAACUACACAAGUUUAUAAUUAUAAAAGUACCUACUAGGGCAAAAACACAAUCUUCCUAAUUUUUAGAAGAAAAAUUAACAGAGCCAUGAAAACAGAACUAUUAACUAAAAAGACUUUUUUUUUUUUUUUUUGCGGUACGUGGGCCUCUCACUGUUGUGGCCUCUCCUGUUGCAGAGCACAGGCUCCGGACGUGCAGGCUCAGCGGCCAUGGCUCAUGGGCUCAGCCACUCCGCGGCAUGUGGGAUCUUCCCGGACCGGGGCACGAACCCGUGUCCCCUGCAUCGGCAAGCGGACUGUCAACCACUGUGCCACCAGGGAAGCCCUAAAAAGACUUUUUUAUAACAUAACUGAACAUGAACUAAAACAAAUAUAUCUGCCACUCAACUUACUUAAAGGAGUUAAGUUACCUAUUAAGUAACUGCUCUCAGAUUUUACCAGUUAUACCUAAAAAAUAAUGUAGAAAGUUUGAAAUAUAAAACAGUAAAUUUAAUAAGCCAAUAAAUGUACAAAUAAAUCAAGGUUCAUUUACCUGGCUGCUAAAGUUCGAACUUAGGCAAAAUAAUAUGAAAUCAGAAAAAGAGCACUUGAGUGAUGUUUUAUAAAGACCAUUUUAAAAGGGCAAUAAAUGUUUUGAUUAUCUGUGCAUGAAAUAAGUUAUCAGGAUCCAUAAAAGGACAAUUGUAAGAGGUAUAACAUAAAAGAUAAACAUAUUAGGUAUAGUAGAUCUUAAUAUACCUUUCUGGUUUUAUACCAGAUACAGUGGAGAACAAAUGAAGUUCUAGAACAAGGGUUGGCAAGCUAUAGUCCUUGAGCCAAAUGCAACCUGACACUUCUUUUUCUAAAUUAAAUUUUUUGGAACUCAGCCACGCUAGUUCUUUUACAUAUUGUCAGCACUGGCUUUAUACUACAGAGGUGUAGUUGACUAGUGACAAGGACCAUAUGGCUUGCAAAGCCUAAAAUAUUUAUUAUCUUGCCUUUUACCAAAAAGCGUUUGCCAGUCCAUACUCUAGAACAAUGGUAUUCAACAGAGGAUGAUUUUACCCACCAUAGGACAUUUAGCAAUGUGUAGAGACAUUUUUAGUUGUCACAACUAAGGGGAAGAUACUACUUUUAUCUCAUGGAGAGGCUGGGGAUGCUGCUAAACAUCCUGUAAUGCACAGGACAACCAUCACCACCCCCACCACACACGGGCACAACCAAGAAUUACCUUGUCCAAAAUGUUAAUAGUGACAAAUUUGAGAAAUUCUGGCCUAGAAUGCAUACAUAGCAUAUUUUAUAAAGUGAAUGUAAUACAUAUCUAGAUAUAUCUUUCAAACUGUGUCUUCUGGAAAUAAAGAAUAAACCAGUGCUGAUGGUAUGUGUCGAAAAUAUAAAAGUACAUUACAGCAACAAAAAACUUCAAUAAAUUCCUUGGAGUAGAAAUUUCACAAUGCAGUAAAACUAGAAAUUGCAAAUAAUAUGAGCAAAGCUAAAAUUCAGUAAUUAAAAAAACCUUUAAAAAUCUGUUUGUUCAGCUAAAUGAGGAAAAUUGUGGAGCAGGAAGCCCCAAGCUCAUUUCCCCACAGAAAUAUU